RNAcentral lists this ribosomal RNA (482 nucleotides) under uncultured bacterium. Its description in RNAcentral is "partial 16S ribosomal RNA". It matches the Rfam family "Bacterial small subunit ribosomal RNA", at positions 28 to 507 of the family's 1533-position model. The record is from RNAcentral.
GACGAACGCUGGCGGCGUGCCUAACACAUGCAAGUCGAACGGAAAGGUUUUGAAAGAUUUCUGCGGAAGGAAGGUGAUUGAGUGUAGUAGCGGAGGGGUGAGUAACGCGGGAGUAAGCUGCCUUCAAGAGGGGAAUAACAUUCUGAAAAGAAGACUAAUAGCGCAUGACAGAUCGGAACAACAUGGUGGUGAUAUCAAAGCGUUUAUCGCUUGAAGAGGGACUCGGGUGCGAUGAGUUAGUUGGUGAGGUAACGGCGCAGCAAGACCGCGAUGGGUAGCCGGACUGAGAGGUUGACCAGCCACAUUGGGACUGAGACACCGCCCACACUCCUACGGGAGGAAGCAGUGGUGGAUCUUGAGCAAUGGGGGCCACCCUGACGCAGCCCCGCCGCGUGAAGGAUGCCGGUUUUUGGAAUGCAACCUUCUUUUAUUACGGACGAAAAAUGACGGUACUUAAUGAAUAAGCUCCGGCUAACUACGUG